This 858-nucleotide ribosomal RNA is filed under the name Triticum aestivum (bread wheat). RNAcentral's name for it is "partial small subunit ribosomal RNA". Lineage: Eukaryota; Viridiplantae; Streptophyta; Magnoliopsida; Poales; Poaceae. The record is from RNAcentral.
AUGUUGGACUGCUGCAACGGCCUCCUCCUCUGCCGCUGGUGCGACGCCUCCGCCCAAGGUGACGAGUUCCGUUAUGUCGUGUGCAAUCCCGCCACGGAGAAGUGGGUCGUGUUGCCGAGCUCCGGCAAGGCCACCAGCGAGGUGGCCACCGCACGCUUGGGCUUCGACCCAGCCCUGUCGUCCCAUUUCCAUGUGUUUGAGUUGGUAGAAGAGCAGGAUUCAAUCUUUCCCUGGGACCCUGACAUCGCUGGAGUGGCGGUGUAUUCUUCUGAAACUGGAGGAUGGGUUUAUAAGGAAAAGAGAUGGAACGAACAAAUUAGAUCCAUUGACCAUUGUUCAGCAUUUGUCUUUCUUGAUGGCUAUCUGCAUUUUCAAGCCAAUGCUCGUCGGUUAUCCAGUCAUCUAGCUGUGGUAGACACAGAGGGGGAAACAUGGAUGAGCUUCAGUGUCCCUGGUGGUUUGGUUGACGGUUUUAUUCAGCGGUCGCAGGGCCGGCUGCAUUAUGCCAAUUUUCAGAGAGGUGGAGAUAGUGUCAUUAGAUUGGUAGUUUAUGUUCUGAACGACUAUCAAAGCAGAAAAUGGAUAUUGAAGCACAGCAUCGAAGCUUCACACAUAUUUCGAGGGAUGGAUGCCUACCUUCUUGGUCGUUUUGGAUGGGCUGCGAUGGAUUUUGGUUGGAUUGCGAUUCAUCCGGAAUGCAACACGAUAUUCUUCACUGCUGGGUGUUAUACCACAUUCAUGUGCUAUAAUAUGGAUCUUCGACAAGUCAAAGUGAUCUCCAAUCUGGAAGAUGGCCAGCCGCCAUAUCUGCCAUAUGUGCCAUUGUAUGCAGAGUUACAGUCAUUGCACGCUUUAUAA